UACGAAGGGGGCUAGGCGUUGCUCGGAAUCACUGGGCGUAAAGGGUGCGUAGGCGGGUCUUUUAAGUCAGGGGUGAAAUCCUGGAGCUCAACUCCAGAACUGCCUUUGAUACUGAAGAUCUUGAGUUCGGGAGAGGUGAGUGGAACUGCGAGUGUAGAGGUGAAAUUCGUAGAUAUUCGCAAGAACACCAGUGGCGAAGGCGGCUCACUGGCCCGAUACUGACGCUGAGGCACGAAAGCGUGGGGAGCAAACAGGG
This 256-nucleotide ribosomal RNA is filed under the name uncultured bacterium. Its description in RNAcentral is "partial 16S ribosomal RNA". It matches the Rfam family "Bacterial small subunit ribosomal RNA", at positions 524 to 777 of the family's 1533-position model. The record is from RNAcentral.